GACGAACGCUGGCGGCGUGCCUAACACAUGCAAGUCAACUUGAGGGAAGGAGCAAUCUGACCUGAUGGUGGCGCAAGGGUGCGUAACGCGUAAGUAACUUGCCCAAGGUAAGGAAUAACGUCGAGAAAUCGGCGCUAAUACCUCAUAAUGCAGCGGAUCCGCAUGGAUAUGUUGUUAAAGGUUUACCGCCUUGGGGUAGGCUUGCGUCUGAUUAGCUAGUUGGUGUGGUAAUGGCACACCAAGGCUACGAUCAGUAACUGGUCUGAGAGGAUGAUCAGUCACACUGGAACUGAGACACGGUCCAGACUCCUACGGGAGGCAGCAGUGAGGAAUA
Molecule: ribosomal RNA, 334 nt
Filed under: uncultured bacterium
Lineage: Bacteria
Description: bacterial SSU rRNA
Rfam family: Bacterial small subunit ribosomal RNA
Source: RNAcentral